RNAcentral lists this non-coding RNA (32 nucleotides) under unclassified sequences. RNAcentral describes it as "DUF805b RNA". It matches the Rfam family "DUF805b RNA". Rfam says of the family: Bacteroidetes, Chlorobi (1 example), Proteobacteria. Lineage (Flavobacteria) The record is from RNAcentral.
AAAGCGGAAACCGAAAAGCUUACGAGUAGGUA